GGGCCCGUGGUCUAGUGGCUAUGACGUCUCCUUCACAGGGAGAAGGUCACGUGUUCAAAUCACGUCGGGCCCA
Molecule: transfer RNA, 73 nt
Filed under: Candidatus Woesearchaeota archaeon
Lineage: Archaea; Nanobdellati; Candidatus Woesearchaeota
Description: tRNA-Val
Rfam family: tRNA
About the family: Transfer RNA (tRNA) molecules are approximately 80 nucleotides in length. Their secondary structure includes four short double-helical elements and three loops (D, anti-codon, and T loops).
Source: RNAcentral